GACGGCCACCCCAUGUUGAAACACCGGUUCCCGUACGAUCACCGAAGUUAAGCAACGCCGAGCCUGGUUAGUAUCUUAAUGGGUGACCACUUGGGAAUACCAGGUGCUGUAAG
Molecule: non-coding RNA, 113 nt
Organism: Acanthosepion pharaonis
Lineage: Eukaryota; Metazoa; Mollusca; Cephalopoda; Sepiida; Sepiidae
Source: the annotation of a GenBank genome assembly